RNAcentral lists this ribosomal RNA (506 nucleotides) under uncultured bacterium. Its description in RNAcentral is "partial 16S ribosomal RNA". It matches the Rfam family "Bacterial small subunit ribosomal RNA", at positions 29 to 523 of the family's 1533-position model. The record is from RNAcentral.
AGUGAACGCUGGCGGUAGGCCUAACACAUGCAAGUCGAACGGCAGCACAGAGGAGCUUGCUCCUUGGGUGGCGAGUGGCGGACGGGUGAGGAAUACAUCGGAAUCUACUCUGUCGUGGGGGAUAACGUAGGGAAACUUACGCUAAUACCGCAUACGACCUACGGGUGAAAGCAGGGGAUCGUCGGCCCUUGCGCGAUUGAAUGAGCCGAUGUCGGAUUAGCUAGUUGGCGGGGUAAAGGCCCACCAAGGCGACGAUCCGUAGCUGGGCUGAGAGGAUGAUCAGCCACACUGGAACUGAGACACGGUCCAGACUCCUACGGGAGGCAGCAGUGGGGAAUAUUGGACAAUGGGCGCAAGCCUGGUCCAGCCAUACCGCGUGGGUGAAGAAGGCCUUCGGGUUGUAAAGCCCUUUUGUUGGGAAAGAAAUCCAUCUGGUUAAUACCCGGGUGGGAUGACGGUACCCAAAGAAUAAGCACCGGCUAACUUCGUGCCAGCCGCCGCAGUAA